Molecule: long non-coding RNA, 318 nt
Organism: Ananas comosus (pineapple)
Lineage: Eukaryota; Viridiplantae; Streptophyta; Magnoliopsida; Poales; Bromeliaceae
Exons: 2
Source: RefSeq, a predicted model, not a curated record
AUGCUCGAAAGUCUAAAUUGACGUUCUGACAGGUCGACGACACGCUAAUUACGGUAGAGACCGUUCUAGUUCUAUUUGCACUGAGUCGCGAGAGAUAGUUGUCGACGCAUUUCGAGACGUGGAUUCUAGUUGUUGACACCACUACAGGUUCCAGUGCGAGCGUUGUGGCCGAGGAUCGCGGCAAGAGCCUUGCAGCCUAGCUAGCAGACACCAGUGUUUAGUGGUAUACCAUUUUGAGUUCACGUGAUACAUUUUGAUGUACAGAGACAUGUAAAUGAAUGUAUUAUAAAGCAUGUAGAUAACUAAAUGUUUCAGUUA